CAGAGAAUAGUUUAUAUAAAAUUUUAGUUUUGGAGACUAAUGAAGAGAGUAAUCUUUUCUCUGA
This 64-nucleotide transfer RNA is filed under the name Histeroidea sp. 1 KM-2017. RNAcentral describes it as "tRNA-Pro". The record is from RNAcentral. Lineage: Eukaryota; Metazoa; Arthropoda; Insecta; Coleoptera.